GUACUCCUGCGUUGUUCGUGAUGCUCUUGUCUUGAGCCAACACAUCUGUCUAGGGCGCUGGAAUCCAUUCACGGCCUCGCUUCCCUUUUGGGAGGCCUGACCGUAGGAAGGUGCCCACCUGCGAAAGCAGGUUCAAGACACUCGGCACACGGCAGGGCGGGAGUCCC
This 167-nucleotide non-coding RNA is filed under the name Chloroflexota bacterium. RNAcentral describes it as "Chloroflexi bacterium (anaerobic digester metagenome) 6S RNA". It matches the Rfam family "6S / SsrS RNA". From Rfam's summary of the family: E. coli 6S RNA was the first non coding RNA to be sequenced, but its function was unknown until recently. It consists of 184 nucleotides that fold into an extended hairpin structure with a large single-stranded internal bulge. Lineage: Bacteria; Bacillati; Chloroflexota. The record is from RNAcentral.